GAUUAAAAAGCUUAAGAAAGCAAGUGUUUUGAAAACACAAAAAAGAAGUUAAAUUCUUCUAUUAUUUU
RNAcentral lists this transfer RNA (68 nucleotides) under Cryptocercus punctulatus (brown-hooded cockroach). RNAcentral's name for it is "tRNA-Ser". It matches the Rfam family "tRNA". From Rfam's summary of the family: Transfer RNA (tRNA) molecules are approximately 80 nucleotides in length. Their secondary structure includes four short double-helical elements and three loops (D, anti-codon, and T loops). Lineage: Eukaryota; Metazoa; Arthropoda; Insecta; Blattodea; Cryptocercidae. The record is from RNAcentral.